GCAGGCAUACAGUUUAUAAUUUCAUGCACAUUCUUAUAGUGUGUUAUUUUUGCUUCUGGCUACCUGAACACCAGUUCCAGGGGUCAGAUAGGAAGACCCAUUACUUUCUACAACACACAACAAAGGCCUAUACAAAGUAAUUUGUGAUUAAACUGGAAACAGAAUUUAUAUUUCAAAUAGACAAGAUGCACUCAUGUAACUACAUAACCCUUGAACUGAAACAAAGCAAAUCUAAAAUGCUGACAUAUUUUCCAUUAACUCAGGCUUAGCAUCUGGAAAACAUAGCUCCCAGAGCCAAGCACAGCCCCUGUCUUGGCACACAAUAAAAGCUCAGUAGUUUGUAGAACAUGGAGGGCUUGUGCCAUAUCAGAUAGCCCAUUUCCAAUGGCAUUUUUAGACAAGGUAGAAGAUUGUCUCAUGGAAGAGUGUCUUCUUUUCCUUUGUUGGAAAAGAAGAAAGAAAAGAGAGAAAUAUGCAGGUAUUUUAAAGGAUUACAUUAAAAAUAUAUGCAUAUUUGGGAAGAUCGGUUUGGUGUCUUUAGUCUUUGGACAGGUUAAUUUUUAAGUACUUGUCUUUGCAAGUUAAACCUUCGGCUGUUUGGUGCAAACUUUAACUUGACAUGGGCUUCCCAAGCUUUAUGCAUGCUCUUUGACCCGAGACUUCACACCUUCAGGAAGACAUGAUCUUUGUAACUUCAUCAGUCAGGUGUGUUUUGAGCCUCCUACACUUUGAUAUAGUGUGACCAGCACUCUUAUUAAAGUUUCAGGCUAGAAACCAUUCCUACUCAAGUUUCCACUCUCAUCAGCUGGAAAGACACCUGUGUGCUUUUUGAGGAAAACCUUUCAGCGAGAAGAGGUGGCAAUGCAUAGGCACAUUCUGCCUAAAAGCCAACCACCUUUGCUGAUCUCAUCUUCCUGCUCACAAGUUGCAUGCAUUUUUCAAGGUUGGGCACCCAGCCUCUACUCCUACCUCCACUCUGUGCUGGUGUGAUCGCACUUUGAGUGUUAUGUAGAGUUCUAGGCACCUUAAUGUAAGAAAGGUAUUAAGCCAUUAAUGUCCAAAGGAGGGCACUGAAGACAGCGAAGAGCUUUGAGGGGAAGCGAUUCAAGCAGUGGCUGAGGUCAGUUGGUCUGUUCAGUCUGGAGGAGACUUGAGGGGGGAUUGGGGUUGCCAACAUCCUCACCAGGGGAGAUGAUGGACCAGCAAGCACUGAUCUCUUCUCUGUGGUGACCAGUGACAGGACCUGAGGGAAUGGCCUUGUUAUAAAUGAAAAUUUGUCCAGCCAAAUUAAAAUUAAAAAAUUAAAAUAUUUAUUUUGCAAUUCAAAUUCUAUCUAGCCAGCCACAAGGAAAGAACACCACCGAGCCCAGUGUCGGCACUGGGUGUGCAACAAAGAGGUCAGCCUCAGCAGAGGUUUUCCUCUAUGCCCACACAUCUCCAUCCUGGCACAAGCGGUUUUUAUAGGGAAAAUUCCACCUGAGGCCAAGAUUUUGGCAGUCAGUCCUUUCUUCUAUUCAGAGUUUCACAGUUUGAUGAGAUUUCUUUUCUUGGCGAGGAGGCAGAACAAUUUGAAGGAGGUAGAACAAUUCAAUGUUCGGAGUUGGUGAAUCCCUUGAUGAAAUUUAUGGGAACGCUGCAUUCACAUGUAUCUGUCCAGAGGAUUUCCAUGAUAUCCCUCUCAGGUUCACAUGAUGAUCAGGCCUGGGCAUCCCAGUAUCUACAGCCAUCUCCAGAGAGCCACAUCCUUUUAUGUGUAAAUCGGGUUUCAACAAACACCAGGUUUCGCCUGGUUGUGGGGGACUCCUAAUACAAACGUGUAUACUCCACCAAAUAUUCCACAUCACAUAUAUCAUACUAGAAAAGGCGUGAAUUAUAUCUACCACACAUAACAGCCUGAAGUUGUCUCAGAGGUGCUUUAGGUUAGAUAUUAGGAAAAGGUUCUUCGCCCAGGGAGUGGCUGGGCACUGGAACAAGCCCCCCAAGGAAGCGGUCAGAGCACCAUGAAGGGUUGGACAAUGCUCUCGGGCACACAGCGCGAUUUUGUGGGGUGUCCUGCGUAAGGAUAAGAAUCGGACUCGAUGAUCCUGGUGGCUCCCACCUCAGCGUACUCGGCGGCUCUGUGAGCGGAGCGUGGCUCGGGCGGGCCCAGCUCUGUCGGGCGACUUUCUAGAGAUGCAUAGGUGCACAGU
This is a long non-coding RNA of Taeniopygia guttata (zebra finch), 2189 nucleotides long. The record is from Ensembl. NCBI's taxonomy places the organism in Eukaryota, Metazoa, Chordata, Aves, Passeriformes, Estrildidae.